UACGGGGGGAGCAAGCGUUGUUCGGAUUUACUGGGCGUAAAGGGCGCGUAGGCGGUCGUGACAAGUCACUUGUGAAAUCUCCGGGCUUAACUCGGAACGGUCAAGUGAUACUGUCGGACUAGAGUACAGAAGGGGCAACUGGAAUUCUCGGUGUAGCGGUGAAAUGCGUAGAUAUCGAGAGGAACACCUGAGGUGAAGACGGGUUGCUGGGCUGACACUGACGCUGAGGCGACGAAAGCCAGGGGAGCAAACGGG
This 255-nucleotide ribosomal RNA is filed under the name uncultured bacterium. RNAcentral's name for it is "partial 16S ribosomal RNA". It matches the Rfam family "Bacterial small subunit ribosomal RNA", at positions 524 to 776 of the family's 1533-position model. The record is from RNAcentral.